Labrus bergylta (ballan wrasse) is the source of this 866-nucleotide non-coding RNA. NCBI's taxonomy places the organism in Eukaryota, Metazoa, Chordata, Actinopteri, Labriformes, Labridae. The record is from RefSeq and is a predicted model, not a curated record.
UACAGGACACAGCUCAGGUGUGUGUCAGGUGCUGCUCAACAGGUAACCUACAGGACAGAGCUCAGGUGUGUGUCAGGUGCUGCUCAACAGGUAAACUACAGGACACAGCUCAGGUGAUCUCUGUGACGGUGCUGCUCAACAGGUAAACUACAGGACACAGCUCAGGUGAUCUCUGUGACGGUGCUGCUCAACAGGUAACCUACAGGACACAGCUCAGGUGUGUGUCAGGUGCUGCUCAACAGGUAACCUACAGGACAGAGCUCAGGUGUGUGUCAGGUGCUGCUCAACAGGUAACCUACAGGACACAGCUCAGGUGUGUGUCAGGUGCUGCUCAACAGGUAACCUACAGGACAGAGCUCAGGUGUGUGUCAGGUGCUGCUCAACAGGUAACCUACAGGACAGAGCUCAGGUGUGUGUCAGGUGCUGCUCAACAGGUAACCUACAGGACACAGCUCAGGUGAUCUCUGUGACGGUGCUGCUCAACAGGUAACCUCCAGGACACAGCUCAGGUGCUGCUCAACAGGUAACCUACAGGACACAGCUCAGGUGUGUGUCAGGUGCUGCUCAACAGGUAACCUACAGGACACAGCUCAGGUGUGUGUCAGGUGCUGCUCAACAGGUAAACUACAGGACACAGCUCAGGUGUGUGUCAGGUGCUGCUCAACAGGUAACCUACAGGACACAGCUCAGGUGUGUGUCUUCAGUGAGCACGGUAUCAGAUGAUCUCUUUAACACCUGGUGGGUCAUGUGAUCAAAACUGUGCGUUACAGUGUAAAUACUCCUGUUCGAGUAUCUGAGGGACAAAAAAUGACCGAAGUAUAAAUAAAUGAAGAAAUGUUUGGAGAAAUGCAGUAAUGUAUAAAAAA